RNAcentral lists this ribosomal RNA (274 nucleotides) under uncultured bacterium. RNAcentral's name for it is "partial 16S ribosomal RNA". It matches the Rfam family "Bacterial small subunit ribosomal RNA", at positions 523 to 796 of the family's 1533-position model. The record is from RNAcentral.
AUACGAAGGGAGCUAGCGUUGUUCGGAAUCACUGGGCGUAAAGCGCACGUAGGCGGAUUGUUUAGUCGGGGGUGAAAUCCCGGGGCUCAACCUCGGAACUGCCUUCGAUACUGGCAAUCUUGAGUCCGGAAGAGGUGGGUGGAAUUCCUAGUGUAGAGGUGAAAUUCGUAGAUAUUAGGAAGAACACCAGUGGCGAAGGCGGCCCACUGGUCCGGUACUGACGCUGAGGUGCGAAAGCGUGGGGAGCAAACAGGAUUAGAAACCCCGGUAGUCC